Arachis ipaensis is the source of this 1020-nucleotide non-coding RNA. NCBI's taxonomy places the organism in Eukaryota, Viridiplantae, Streptophyta, Magnoliopsida, Fabales, Fabaceae. The record is from RefSeq and is a predicted model, not a curated record.
UCAAAAGGGAACCCUUAUUUUGUAUGUGAUGCAAGAGUUCUUGUUAAGCCUUACAAGGAGAAGGGGAAAGUUCCAAACAAGUACAAGCACCUACUCAUUCUUCUAUAGUCUUUUCUUCUUAUCUUUUUUUUUCUUUCUUAAUUGUCUCACACAACAAUGCUUUGAAUUUGAAUUUUUAGGAAGCAACAUCAACAAGUAGAUAAGGAUUUUUCACCUUGUGGCACUUCUACUGGACUAGAUGCUAGAGACCAAUAUGAUCUCCAACUAGAACUUUGCUUCUUGUUGUUGCAUACAAUCCGAAGAAAGACUUGAUGCAUCAUGGAGAAUAUGAGUGCUUGCUAAACACCGUGGAAGCAUAUGUCAUUGAUGCCUGACCUCAGUUGAUGGGUUGAAGAUUGGGACUACAACAAAAUCAUCAUUUGCAAUAGGUAAAAUAGCAUCUUCAGUUUAAUAUCUGUUCAUUUAUUUUUUAAAUAGUCAAACUAUCAAGAUACAAGGAUUAGAAGAAGCUGCUGUGUGGUGUAAACAUUUUGUAGCUGAUAAAUGUAGUGAGAUCAUAGAUGUUCUAGAAAAUAAAUCAUGAGUAGUUAAUUUUAAUUUCAUAAAACUAACAGGAGGUAAUGCUGAAAAGAAAACAAUGUUGAAUUUUUUAUUUCACAUCAUGCAAUGCAACAAAAAUAAUUAAGGCAAAUUUGGAUUUCUUAUUAUUUCAAAGAGUUUAUGGUGAGAAACAGAAGAAGUGCAGCAACAAAGUAGAACUGACAUUAAAGUUGUCACCUUGUGGUAAUGAGAAAGAAGAAGAGAGGAUGAGGAAGCUGAAGAGGUCAUCAUCAGUGAUUAAAGAUGGCAGCAUCACAUAUAUGUAGUAUUCAUAAAUAUAAAUUUGUUGUAUUUGUGUAGAUUUGUUUUCGCCUUCAUUGUUUUUCAAUGCAUAUAUGUAGUAUACAUAAAUAUAAAUUUAUUUGUAUUAGAAUUCAUUUUUCAUUUCAUCUUUAUAUGAUUUUCAAUAAUUAUUGGCAU